Panicum virgatum (switchgrass) is the source of this 1705-nucleotide long non-coding RNA. RefSeq lists it as uncharacterized. The record is from RefSeq and is a predicted model, not a curated record. The transcript is spliced from 3 exons. NCBI's taxonomy places the organism in Eukaryota, Viridiplantae, Streptophyta, Magnoliopsida, Poales, Poaceae.
AGCGGCAAGCAAGAACUUUUCUUUGCCCCUGGCUCCUCACCAUCUUGGCCAUAUAUUUGGAACAUGGUGGUUUACCUUUCGUCUUUUCACUUCUAAUUUUUCCAUUAAUCCUGGGGUUGAGACACUUCCCCCUCCUCCAGCUGAUUCAGUUCCACCAUUCGGCUAUUAUAAAUAAGUAGUUUUUCUGAACAGCAAACCCACCAAGCUCCAUCGGCUGCUAGAUCUCUAUCUCCCUCUUCCUCCAAGGAAAACCUUGCCAUCAUCUGCCAAGCAAUGGCCAGCCACAAGCGCAAGGAUGAAUGUCCUUCUGAUCAGCCAUCGGCUGUCCGUCGCCGCCUUGGCAACGACGAGGCUUCUAGUAUGCCACGCUGAUCCCCUUCUCCAGCACCAACAAGGCCCUUCUAUGGAAUGCUCCCGAUAUCGCAUAUAUGCCUGCCUAGCUGGGGGAGCCAAAUUCGGUAACUUACCUUCGGUAAGUGAUGGUGUGGGUGUGACAGGAGCCUCUAUAUCCGACGUCCAGAGCCCAUCCAACGAUCGCAACUUGUCCAGCUAAUCUCAUACCAUUGGUCGAUAGUUCUCACCAAGUAGUAAAAUCGAUUGCACAUGCCCCAUGGUCUCCUCUUCCCACAUGUGCUCUCAAUUUUAUUGGAGACGGCUUAGCUUUUUGGUAUCUGCUGCCGCUAUUAAGUCAUAUGUGAUUCUUUCUGCUGAUAGCGGAUAGUCCUCGGCAAUGGCGGUCUUGGUGCCUUUGCCUCGAGGACCGCAGGGUGCUCCGCUGCAUCUUCUUAUCCGGAAUCAGACGCAAGUAGACGGAUUUGUGGAAGAGAAGAAGAGGAUAAGAUUCAAGCUGUGAUAUCCUGUACUAAGGCCAUGGCCUCAAGGGAAGAACUGAGGAAGGAAUGGGAUUUAAUUCUAAAAAAUAAACUAGUCAAUACUAGUCCUGAUUGGUUCAUCAUGUUGAUUGUGGAUCUGAACAUAGAGGAUAGAGCGCAGCUGCUGUUCUGUUUAUGGAGAGUUUGGCACCUUAGAAAUAAUGCAGUUCAUGGCGAUGAUAAAGCUUCGGUUUGCGGAUCAGCUAGAUUUGUUGAAAGCUAUUGGAAGUCAUUGUUAGAGAUCCGACAUGGUAAGGAAAAUGAUAAGAAGGGCAAAGCACCAUUAGUCGAUAGUUAGAAGCAGGUGAAGGAACAAAAAUUUAAGCCUCCACUUGGACAAAAGGUGUGGACUAUGCCACCACAAGGUUGGACGAAACUGAAUGUGGAUGCUGCCUAUGACCAAUCUUCAGGAGAAGCAAACAUAGGAAUUGUGAUCAGAGAUUAUUCUGGAAAGGUGCUGCUAUCAGCUUGGAAGCAUGACAUUCGUUGCGCGUCAGUGGAGGAUACUGAAACUGUGAUCGAAUCUGAUUGUCAUAGUGUGGUAAAAUCAUGGCUUUUCGAUGAUGAAAACAGAGCGAGCUUCUCGAACAUUGUGAAAGAAAUAAAGUCUGCUAUGUCUGCAAUGCCAGAGGUAAAAGUGUGUAAAAUUGGAAGAGAAUGCAACAAGGUAUCCCAUGAGUUAGCCCAGCUAGCAAAAUGAUGCAUGCAUUCGGCGAUUUGGAGAGAUCAAUCUCCUUCCUUUGUCCACGAGCUUGUAAGCCUUGAUUGUAAACCUUUAUCAAAUUAAUGAAAUGCAAUCCUCCUUCUAAAAAAAAGAAAGAAAGGCGUGAAUA